GCCGAGGUGGUGGAAUUGGUAGACACGUUGGACUUAAAAUCCAAUGGACUUUAAAAUCCGUGCCGGUUCAAGUCCGGCCCUCGGUACCA
This 89-nucleotide transfer RNA is filed under the name Candidatus Margulisiibacteriota bacterium. RNAcentral's name for it is "tRNA-Leu". It matches the Rfam family "tRNA". From Rfam's summary of the family: Transfer RNA (tRNA) molecules are approximately 80 nucleotides in length. Their secondary structure includes four short double-helical elements and three loops (D, anti-codon, and T loops). Lineage: Bacteria; Bacillati; Candidatus Margulisiibacteriota. The record is from RNAcentral.